GCGAGAGUGGUGGAACUGGCAGACACGCUAGACUUAGGAUCUAGUGCCACUAGGCUUAAGGGUUCAAGUCCCUUCUCUCGCA
This 82-nucleotide transfer RNA is filed under the name Treponema sp. RNAcentral describes it as "tRNA-Leu". It matches the Rfam family "tRNA". Rfam says of the family: Transfer RNA (tRNA) molecules are approximately 80 nucleotides in length. The record is from RNAcentral. Lineage: Bacteria; Pseudomonadati; Spirochaetota; Spirochaetia; Treponematales; Treponemataceae.